Molecule: RNase P RNA, 486 nt
Filed under: Phycisphaerae bacterium
Lineage: Bacteria; Pseudomonadati; Planctomycetota; Phycisphaerae
Description: RNase P RNA component class A
Rfam family: Bacterial RNase P class A
About the family: Ribonuclease P (RNase P) is a ubiquitous endoribonuclease, found in archaea, bacteria and eukarya as well as chloroplasts and mitochondria.
Source: RNAcentral
GGAGUGGGCGAGGCGAUCGCUCGGUCGCCCCUUCGGGGGCCAUGGCCGGGAGGAAAGUCCGAACUGGGCAGGGCACGGUGGUCGCUAACGGCGACCCGGAGUGAUCCGAGGGACAGUGCCACAGAAAACAUACCGCCGGGCUGGUGUGGCUGAGUUGCGGCCAAAAAGGUGUCAGGAACCUUUUUUGAGGUCGUGGCUCCUGCGGUCGCGGCCUCACAAAAGGUUCCUGACACCUUUUUGGCCGCAACUCAGCCACACCAGCCCGGUAAGGGUGAAAAGGUGCGGUAAGAGCGCACCGCGUCACCGGUGACGGUGAUGGCAGGGCAAACCCCACCGCCAGCAAGCCCAAAUAGGCAGCGAGAGGCGGCCCGCCUCGUUUGAGCUGCGGGUAGGGUGCUUGAGCGGUCUGGCAACAGGCCGCCCAGAUGAAUGAUCGCCGUCCGCCUCGGCGGAUAACAGAAUUCGGCUUAUUCGCCCGCUCCGCCU